RNAcentral lists this ribosomal RNA (555 nucleotides) under Triticum aestivum (bread wheat). Its description in RNAcentral is "partial small subunit ribosomal RNA". The record is from RNAcentral. Lineage: Eukaryota; Viridiplantae; Streptophyta; Magnoliopsida; Poales; Poaceae.
AUGGCGCAAAAGGAGGCCGGCUUAGCAGCGAUGAGCGGCGGCAACAAGGCCAAGCCGCACGCGGUGGUGGUGGUGUACCCGCUGCAGGGCCACCUCAUCCCCGUCACGCACCUCGCGCUGCGGCUGGCAGCGCGGGGCUUCGCCGUCACGGUCGUCAACACGGAGGCCGUGCACGAUCAGACGGCACGCGCUCGGCGUCGACCUGGCGGAACACGACUUCUUUGCCGCCGCGCGCUUCUCGGGGAUGGACGUGCGCUACGAGCUUAUCAGCGACGGCCUCCCCGUGGGGUUCGAUCGGUCGCUGCACCACGACGAGUUCAUGGGCUCACUGUUCCAAGCGCUCUCUGGCCACGUCGAGGAGGUGCUCGGCCACGUCGUCGUCGACCCGGCCGCGACGAGCCUCGUCGCCGACACCUUCUUCGUGUGGCCGGCGACGCUGGCCAGGAAGUUCGGUAUCGCGUACGUGUCCUUCUAGACGGAGCCCGCGCUCAUCUUCAACCUCUACUACCAUGUCCACUUGCUCACCAACAACGGCCACUUCGGAUGCAACGGUGA